Alligator sinensis (Chinese alligator) is the source of this 2786-nucleotide RNA transcript. It is a transcript of the gene named abhydrolase domain containing 11, with no coding region annotated. NCBI's taxonomy places the organism in Eukaryota, Metazoa, Chordata, Crocodylia, Alligatoridae. The transcript has 7 exons. The record is from RefSeq and is a predicted model, not a curated record.
AGGCGGGGGCGGGUGGUGGCCCGGCCCCCGCCGAGGGCCUGACCCGGGACCGCGCCGCGGGGGCAGCUGUGAAACGAUCCAGUGAGUCGCCUCGAUCUGCUCGUGGGGAGCCUGGAGCCGCCACAGCAGGGCCCUGCAGUCCUGGCCCCGGCUGUCCUCGGGCUGCUCGGGGUGUGCAUGGCGGUGCCGGGUUCCUUCAGGCGGGUGAUCACCGCGGCGCUCGCCCCCGAGUCACCGAUGCCAGCGGAUGUCGGGCAGAAAGUUCUGAGCCUCGGGGGCUGGGGCUCAGGCCAGGGAUUUGGAGGCCAGGAGAUGUGAGGACUGGAGCUAAAGUACUGACAAUAGAUGCACGUAACCAUGGCGAAAGCCCUCACAGCCCCAUCAUGACCUACGAAGCAAUGAGCUUGGAUGUCCAGCACCUCCUGAGCCAGCUGCACAUCAGCAAGUGCAUCCUGAUUGGGCACAGCAUGGGCGGCAAAACAGCCAUGACACUGGCACUGCAGAGGCCAGAUCUAGUGGAGCGCCUGGUAUCUGUUGACAUUAGUCCCACCCCAACGGGGCCUGUCACAAGCUUCCCUGCCUACAUCUCUGCCAUGAAAAGCAUGAGCCUCCCACGUGGGAUCCCCCGCUCCACUGCACGCAGGCUAGCUGAAGAUCAGCUGCGUUCGGUCAUCCAGGUACCAGCUGUGAGACAGUUCCUGCUUACUAAUCUGGUGGAGGUUGAGGGCUACUACAUGUGGCGGCUGAACUUGGAGGCCAUUUCCCAUCACCUCCCUGAUAUUAUCACAUUCCCAACCUUCCAGUCGUAUUACCCGGGACCCACUCUCUUCCUGAGAGGCUCCAAGUCCCCCUAUGUCAGUGACACGGACUCCUCGGAGAUUGAGCGGCUCUUUCCCAAGGCCAAGGUCCAGUGUAUUGCAGGUGCUGACCACUGGGUCCAUGCAGAUAGACCACAGGAGUUCGUUGCUGCCAUCUCCAACUUCCUGCUGCUGCCAUAAAACCUGGAGACAGAGAUCGGGAUUGCUGCACAUGGCUGAUCCUGGAGCACCACAUCAGGGAUGUCCAGUACUCUGGAGGAUGGACCCCAACCAUAGAUAAGAAGUUAAAGGAAGUGCGGACGAUGUUUGUGGAGAGAGUUAGUGAUGGCGUGAUUGCCCCCGUCCUGGACGACCUGCAGGACAAACGGGUACUGAACCAUGAUGAAGCAGAGAAUGUGCGGGCAGAGAGGAGGAGGGCCGAACAAGCCAGGUACCUGAUCGAUGUGGUGAUGAGGAAGGGUCUUAAAGCCAGCACCAUAUUCAUCCAGUGCCUCCAUGACAGAGACCCCUUACUGGCUACAGAACUAGGGCUGGAUGCCUCCUCUGACGUUCCAUGAAUCACAAUGAUGUCACUGCUCUGCUCUGGAUUUAUGCUUUGGCAGAUCCCUGCAUGCAUUUGCUGCUCCUCCCCAAACAAGAGGCUGUGACCAUCAGCCACAGUAAACAUACCCCAGGACAGAUUUCAUCUUCUCUGACUAGAGGAAAGGAUGUUUCUUCUGAGAAUGGAUCAGAAAUGCAGACCCUUUUCUAGGUCCAAUUCUUUUAUGUUACCCUAAUUCCUCGGUACUCAGGACCACACUCUGUUCAGUAUAUUGGGAGAUGAUCACAUUUGACACCUGAGUCCAAUUUUAUGCACAAUAGCUGUAAAAGAACUUGGCCCUUGCUGUUUAUCGCAGUUUCUAAAAUGGUUCCAUCAGUGUGUAUAUGUCCUUACAAUGAGCCACUCUUUUCUUGCUCUCUAUCGCUCUGCCCUUUCACCAAGUCAUGAAGACUAUGUAAUCAAUGAUUUCCCCACAUCACUGAUGUGCAGUAAUUUUCCUGUGACAAUAAUAAGCGUGAAGCAAAAGUAAUUUGUGCUGAUUAUGCAGCGGAUGUCUCCUGCCAGUGAGUUUUGUUAAGGAUGGAGGAGUUCUGCCACGGGAAAAGACAGAACCUCUGCUGCCUGAGUGAUUGAAAACCGGUGAAGGCCGAGAGUAGACUAGGCACUCACCUGGAGGUGGGAGACCUGAGUUCUGGUUCUGGCUUUCGGGUCUCUUUCUCUACUGCCCAUUAAACAGCGGUUUGCUCAAGGCUCUCCUGCACUGGGUGGAGAAGGAGAUAGCCUGCUGUGACCCAGGGGGCUCCAUCAGCAGAGCAGAGCAGCGAUGCUCCAGCAAUGUGGAUCUUGUUGCAGUCAUCCCUGCCAUCCAAAAUGUGGACUUGGAUCCAAACCCUCCAACGGGCUUAAACCACGUGAGGAUGAAAACACAAUGUAUUUGGGUCUUUGGGCUGGCUUUCUGGUGUCCAGGGUUACAGCUUCCUGCCCUUCUCUGCAAGGGCUGAAAAUUCACUUUCUUUUAAUGAAAGCGUAAUUUUGCUCCAUUCACAAGACACCAGGAGCUAAGGCUUGUGGGAAAAUAUAUCAUGGAGCAUGCACAAACAUGGCAAGACCUGAUGACAACACAGUGUAUUCUCUCGCCCUGAAGUACCCUGCACCUCCUCCCUGCCACAGGCUUCCAGGCCCCAGUGUUCAUGGAUACACAAUGAACAGGUGAAUUAGUUAAAGAAGGGUGCCUUGUUUACCAGCUUCAGGUUGCCCUGUCCCCUUUCCCUCCUGGAUGCCCAUGACAGUGAUCAGGGACCAGGCUCAGAGCCACCCUCAUCUGUGUAUGUUCAGGACUUCAGCUUCCCUGUGCUCUGCCCAUUGCUCAGCUCAGCGGCCCUUCCAAACAAGGCACUAUUUCAGCUUAAGGCCCUUGUCCCCAUCAC